RNAcentral lists this ribosomal RNA (406 nucleotides) under uncultured bacterium. RNAcentral's name for it is "bacterial SSU rRNA". It matches the Rfam family "Bacterial small subunit ribosomal RNA", at positions 354 to 777 of the family's 1533-position model. The record is from RNAcentral.
GUGGGGAAUAUUGCACAAUGGAGGGAACUCUGAUGCAGCGACGCCGCGUGAGUGAUGAAGGAAUUCGUUUCGUAAAACUCUGUUCUAUGGGAAGAAAAGGACUGUACCAUAGGAGAAAGCUCCGGCUAAAUACGUGCCAGCAGCCGCGGUAAUACGUAUGGAGCGAGCGUUGUCCGGAAUUAUUGGGCGUAAAGGGUGCGCAGGCGGCUUUACAAGUUGGAUGUGAAAUAUUGUGGCUCAACCACAAACGUGCAUCCAAAACUGCAAAGCUUGAGUUAAGGAGAGGUAAGUGGAAUUCCUGGUGUAGCGGUGGAAUGCGUAGAUAUCAGGAGGAAUACCGGUGGCGAAGGCGACUUACUGGACUUAAACUGACGCUCAUGCACGAAAGCGUGGGGAGCAAACAGGA